This 351-nucleotide long non-coding RNA is filed under the name Elaeis guineensis (African oil palm). RNAcentral describes it as "long non-coding RNA (EGUI_LNC068226)". The record is from RNAcentral. Lineage: Eukaryota; Viridiplantae; Streptophyta; Magnoliopsida; Arecales; Arecaceae.
UACCAUCAUCUUUACUGUGCCCAUCACCUCCCCUCUCCUUUCUCUCUCUAGCACAUGCCCUUUCUCUCUCUUGAUGUCCCUUUGUUGGAGCUUUUAGAGAGGUGGGCGGCAACAUUAUUUUGGUGUCAAUUGGUUGGCAUCAAGUUAUUGUUUGGUUUCAUCUUCUUCCUCUCAAAUUGUUGGGAGUUAGUUACAACCACUUUUUGAUUGUUGUUCUUCUUGAUUAGUUGAGGGAUCAAGAAAAGUUCUUGAUUUCUUCAAGAAUCAAGAAAGAAAAAUCAAAAAGUUUUAUAAUUUCAAGCCUAUCCAAGCUUGGUUCAAGCCUAUUUAGGCUUUUGAUUCAGGCAAGCA